GGGUUAUUUACUACUAUUUAACUAUCAGACUAACAAACUAGAUAGAGGAAUAGACAAAAUUGGCCAUAGACUUGCUCAUGGAUUGACUAUGAAAUAAGAUGAAGUAAAUUGUAACUCCUCCCAGAUCACACUAUUCUUUUGGAUGUCCUUAAACUUUCUAUAUAUGUGGUAGAAGAUUUAUGAAGCCGAGUUUUCGUAGGAACAUGAAGUGCAUAGCUACAAGAAGACCAGAGCUUCCCAUCAUAGUGAAAAGACCAAAAUAUAACUAUUGGUGCUUACUGCAUACUAGUUUACUGUCAAGGACCUGCUCACCUUCUUUCCAUUUAAUUUUGACAUGCAGCAGAAAAAUAGACGACUGAACUCUAUCUCUCUUUACAACUUCUCGAUCUGUAUUUGCAUAACGUCUGUUUCCUUUAACACUAAGAUGUCUCUUGAUGGCUACCAAUAUAGGAUCACAAUUGUUAAUCAACAUCAUGUGUUCCAAAAUUUACCUGUACCUUACUAAUUUACCUUUCUUUCUCUUUUGUUUUUUAAUAUGCUUAGAUUGGUUAUGAUAAGCAAGGACUUCCAAUAGGCUUGCAGCUUAUUGGUCGUCCGUGGUGUGAAGCUACAAUCUUGCGUUUAGCUACUGUGAUAGAGGAAAUCUCUGCAGAGUAUAGGAAGAAGCCAGUGGAGUACUAUGACAUCUUGAAAGGGAAGUGAGAAUAAUGUUUUACAAGACACAAUUGAAAGAGAGCGAAGGAACUGACAGGAAUAAGCUUAAGCCUAGCCUUAGGGUAAGAGAAAGAUUUCAUCACAAAUGAACUUACAUAGAGAACGAAUCAAGUAAGUGCUGAAGAACAAUACUCCUAGAUAUAGAAAUGUGGUUGCUUUUUCAAUAAUUAUAUCUAGUGGAUUUUGGUGAUAUAUGCCUUUGAUUCAUGCAUUUAGUACCAGCAACCUUUCUGUAAUUUUCUACAUCCUUGAAGUUGUACACUGAAACUGCUUCAUUCAUAGUUUAAUGCAAUAUUUGGUUGUAUUCUAUUUUAUUU
Molecule: long non-coding RNA, 1031 nt
Organism: Nicotiana attenuata
Lineage: Eukaryota; Viridiplantae; Streptophyta; Magnoliopsida; Solanales; Solanaceae
Exons: 2
Source: RefSeq, a predicted model, not a curated record